This is a long non-coding RNA of Gopherus flavomarginatus (Mexican gopher tortoise), 2565 nucleotides long. RefSeq lists it as uncharacterized. The record is from RefSeq and is a predicted model, not a curated record. Lineage: Eukaryota; Metazoa; Chordata; Testudines; Testudinidae. The transcript has 3 exons.
CUCAUGUAAGUGUUCCGUAAGUGUCCCAUCAAUGUACUGGCUCUAUGCUGGAAUGUGAGAUUUGAUGGGCUCAAAUACAGAGAAAUUUUGUUUCAAGGAAUCAAGCAUCUUGUGCAAAGCUUUCAAAAUGUAAGCAGGUGCUGUGAACUGUAGUAUUGGUAUACUACCAAGUAAAAGAACAGCAGAGGAAAAGAUAUAAAAAAUGUAAAAAGAAUUAAUGUGAAAUCGAGACUUAGUUUUAUUAUAUGAGGGUUAGCCACUGUUUUACUGACCUACAUCAAUUGAGGAUUACAGAGAUUAGUGAAAGGAAUACUUAAUAGCUGAACUGUGGAUUCCAAAGAGGAUUAUCUGAUGGGACAACUGAGAGAGUUAAAGAGAGAAAUGAUCUACCCAAGUCACAAAACAAGUCAAUCCAGGAGUAGAACUCAAGAGCUUUUGGCUCCCAGCUCCACAUGCAUGACUUUGGAUCAUGCCGCCUUGCUGCCAAUAUACUAAUAACAAUUUAUUGCACAUCUCAAUACAGUGCAGUAAGUUCUGUGUGCUUAAGCAGAACAAUUCAUUUUUUUCUCAUUAAUACUAAGUCUAUUUGUUGCUCAGCAGGACUAAUAUUUAUACAUUCUAGAUCUUGUGAUGCAGUAGCAAGCUCUGAUUUCAGUUCAAUCUGACAGGUUCUGAGAGCAAAAUGUCAUUAUAGAACUUCAAAAGCAAUUGCUCCAUAGCAAGAUCUUUACAAUUAUCUUUAUAAUAUCUUUCAACUCCUGUUGGCUUCUUGAUCUUCUGUGGAAAUCCCAACUCGUCUGCCAGUUUUGGUUUAUGAAAAGUUGACCCUUAAGGCAUAACUAUUUUAAAAAAGAUAUGCCAAAAUGUUACAAGAUAUAGUAGAUUUCACCCAGUUUGAUAUCCCUUCUGGAAUACGCAUAUAAUAAAAAUUGCAUUUUUACUAAGUAAUUGGCCAUAUGAAUCACAUGCUAUUCAUGUAUUGUUCAUGAAUCAAGCCAAGAGCCAUUUAAAAAUGACUAGCAUCAGGGAAAUGUAAUAGCUUUUCAACAGAUUAUUUAAAUGACUGUAGCUAUGAUUUCCAAUAAUUUUUAUCGAAACAGGAAGGCUUUAGCAAACUGUGGCAGGACUCUCUCCGAAAAGAGUACCUUUCUGAUUAAAACCUUUUGCUACUGGAUUUAAGAAAUUAAAGAAAAAAGGGGAACCUCUGAGUUAUGUAUGCAUCUGUCAAAUCCUGGAUCUUUAUCAUGUAACAAUUUGACCAAUCACAGGUAAAAAAAGGGGUGGUUUGGGAGGGAUAUUUUUCACUUUAUGAAUCACAGCUAAUAACGUAGUUUAGUACUUUCUGAACAGGCAGUUCCUGCAAACUGACCAACCUGUAGAUUGUGUUCCUAGUAGUUUCUGGUGCAAUAGUUUGGCAUGCAUGAUGCAUUUGGAGAGUGAUUUGCCAGCAUUCCAGCAACAUAUGAACUUUAGCUAGAAUUUCUUAUCACAGAUAAGCACCAGUUCGAAUUCCUUGAUUGUUUGAUUGUCUAUACUAUAAAGCCAGAUGUAUUUCACAGCAUCAGCUGUAUUCACCUAUUUCUUUUCUUGUUGUUGCAGCUUGCAUCCUUGACCUGAUUUUGCCAAUGGCUACCUGGCCUCUCAACACGUUGCUUUUCAGGAAUAUUUUCUAAUAAUGACAACUAUAGUUAACAUUUAUAUUUAUACUGUACAAUUAUACUUAACUAUUUAAAAUUUCAAAAAGCUGCAAAACAUUCAUUAAUUUGCCAGAUAAAAUCACUAUGGGGUAGACAAAUAGGAUCAUUACCCCCAGGUUAUAGAUGAGGAAACUGAGGCUGAAAGAUUAAAUGUCUUGCCCAGUGUCACAUGGCAAGUCUAGUGGCAGAAGGAGGGUUAAACUGAAAGUUACCCCUUCUGGGUGCAUUCCUCGAGACUGGGUCUCUCAUCUUUGUUUAAUAGUGUAGACCAUAUCUUAGUAGAGGGAUUCCCCUGUGAACUCCUCUUGUCUCCUCAGGAUCCCAUGUGAUCUCAACUACAGAAAUUGUUUACAAAGAAAAAUAAUAUUAGGAAAGUGCCAGCCUGCUGUGACCAGCCAGCAACUCCCCGGUCACCAGCAAGUACCCUGUGGACAACCAGCAGUUCACUGAUCACAGUCUGAGAAUCACUACUUUAGCACUAUAUCUUGAGGUUUAUUCCUCUAGGUCACAUUGCCUCCUGGUACAGUAUUGUUAAUUAAUCUUUUAUUAAACAAUUCUCCAAGCACAAAUAAAGAAUUUUGGUUGUUAACAUACAUAAGUUAUAUUAAAGAAGGUUUCAGAUCAGCACAUUGUAUUUUGGAGCAAAGUCAUAAAAUAUGCUAACAUGCUAACAUCUAAUGAGGGAAAUGUUGCAUGCAGAUGUCUGUUUGCCUAUUAUCCCAUAAAAUGACUGUAUAUUUUUAUUUAUAUGAGUAACAUCAGACACAAAUGUGUUACCAUAAAUGCAUUCAUUUAGGAAAAUGUAUAAACACAAUAUGAAACUAAUAUAUAUGUAAAACUGUUUUAAAACCUGAUAUUUAAUGUUUAU